GCUUCUAUGGUGCGUGGGGGCACCUACGGAUCCCUUCUCUAAGGACUUUCUCGCUUCUGCGAGCUUGCACAUGUGGACGACCAAGCGCAAGUGCGAUUAUGACAGCAGCUCGGAGCUUCAGCUAUUGCUCCCAAGAUCUAACUUGGUCCGAGACUCGUCUGAUUAGCACCUGGGGGCCCUGAGCCUCCCUCCCCACCUUCGAACAUACUAACAAGUUAGAAAUCAUAAAAUAGACUUGCUUGAACUCUCGAAACGCACCAAAUAAAGCUAAAACUAAGAAUCACACCCCCAAACCAAUUGGAUCAAAAC
Molecule: long non-coding RNA, 309 nt
Filed under: Nicotiana benthamiana
Lineage: Eukaryota; Viridiplantae; Streptophyta; Magnoliopsida; Solanales; Solanaceae
Description: long non-coding RNA (NBEN_LNC006249)
Source: RNAcentral